RNAcentral lists this ribosomal RNA (492 nucleotides) under uncultured bacterium. Its description in RNAcentral is "partial 16S ribosomal RNA". It matches the Rfam family "Bacterial small subunit ribosomal RNA", at positions 28 to 507 of the family's 1533-position model. The record is from RNAcentral.
GAUGAACGCUAGCUACAGGCUUAACACAUGCAAGUCGAGGGGAAACGGCAUCGAAAGCUUGCUUUUGAUGGGCGUCGACCGGCGCACGGGUGAGUAACGCGUAUCCAACCUGCCCAUCACUUGGGAAUAACCUUGCGAAAGUAAGACUAAUGCCCAAUGACAUCCCACGAAGGCAUCCGAAUGGGAUUAAAGAUUUAUCGGUGAUGGAUGGGGAUGCGUCUGAUUAGCUUGUUGGCGGGGUGACGGCCCACCAAGGCAACGAUCAGUAGGGGUUCUGAGAGGAAGGUCCCCCACAUUGGAACUGAGCCACGGUCCAAACUCCUACGGGAGGCAGCAGUGAGGAAUAUUGGUCAAUGGGCGAGAGCCUGAACCAGCCAAGUAGCGUGCAGGAUGACGGCCCUAUGGGUUGUAAACUGCUUUUAUAAGGGAAUAAAGUGGGUCACGUGUGACUUUUUGCAUGUCCCUUAUGAAUAAGGACCGGCUAAUUCCGUG